This is an RNA transcript of Mytilus californianus (California mussel), 3103 nucleotides long. It is a transcript of the gene named trace amine-associated receptor 1-like, with no coding region annotated. NCBI's taxonomy places the organism in Eukaryota, Metazoa, Mollusca, Bivalvia, Mytilida, Mytilidae. The record is from RefSeq and is a predicted model, not a curated record. The transcript has 3 exons.
UCGUACCUUUCGGAAUGUUUUGACAAUCUCUGAUUACAUUCAUGUAAUAAUGUCUAUAUAAAUUCAACAUAUUUUCAAAAUUUUAACAUUCCAAUGUAUUUAAGUUUGAGAAGAAGAAAUAACUCAACACAAAUCUACUGAUUGUGUGAAUGAAGUGUGACGUUAACGAAGGGAGUAGGUCAUUAAACAGUUGUUGCUGUUUUUCCGGUUUAUAUUGUCAAAAGGACUAAGACAACUGAAAGGAAUUUUAGAAAUGCUGAAAAACGCGAUGCACAGGGCUUUAUAGAUUUUAAGAUAAUAAGCAAACACAUGGAAAUUAGCAUGGAAAGUCGUCAUUCAAGGUUUUUGCCAUGACGUUGUCCGUUUGUUUUCGACUUUUGAGUUUAAUGUCCUAUUGGUAUCUGUAACCUCUCUCUUGGAAUUUUGACACAGAAUUACAACGGAAGUUUUCAACGUUUCAACAAGAUUUAACCCCGCGCGGUAACGAGGAUAGACGAAGCAUGAUUACGAAAGUUACGAUAUGGAGUACUUAAAUUUGCUAUGCUAUGCAUUCAAAAAGAACGAUACCUUCGUAUCUCUAACCCGAAUCAGUCUUGCUACGAAUUCUGGAUUGCAUGGAUCCUUUUACCAAUUUUACCAAUUUUAACUCAGUAAAGUCAAGUCAAUGGUAAGUCGAAUUGGAAAAGUCUUGAGACGAAGACGAAACGAGGCGUUGCUCAAAAGGCCCUCGAAAUUCAACAACUGGAUCCCUACUUCGACGCUGAAUGCUUAUAAGAGGCCAGAGUAAAGCUGUAUAUGGACAGUGUGACUCGUGAUCACUGCCGAUGACGUUUGCAGUGUGUUGAAACGUGCCUUAUUUAGAAACUCUAUAUCGUCACGGAUUGUACAGGUGAAAUAUUGUUAUCAUUUUGAAUUAAGUAUAACCCUGAUUUAUAAAUAUUAUUAUGUCGGAGAAUAUUGUAUAAUCUGCAUUGUAUCUUGGAUUCUCUGCGGUGUUGUAGCAUACCUGUUGAUCUGGGAUUAAUAUAAAUUUGUAGAUCUUCAACAGGUGUCUAUACAUCAUGUUUUAACUCUAAAUUGCCCACAGUAGAACAGAUUUUCUUAAAUAAAGAUCUUAAGAUCUGCUUUCAACACCAAACUUUAUAACAUGUUGUUUUCAUUUUUUUUACAGCACUGGGUCGAUACCUCUGCUGGUGGACUAUCAGUCGCCGAGGGUAUCAUCAGCUUAGUAGUCAGUACUUCGGUAUUGCCAUGAUUAAUAACAAGCCUUUCUAAAUUUGCCCGUUUAUAAAUUUUGAAAUUAUAAAGAAACUAAGGUUUCAACUCCGUCAGGCAAAGUUGGCCUUAGAAGGAUUUGGCUAUUAUUUUAGGUCAUUUUUUAUUAUAUAGCUCUUCAACAAUUUCGGAUUUAUACAUCCUUGGCUUUCAAAUAUUCGGCUUUGAGCGUUCCCGAUGAAGGUCAAUCCAGAAAAUCGCUUCGGACGCAUUAAAUUUAAAACGUGUUGUUUUCAUUUUUUUCUAACUAUUCCCUCCACCCCACCCAGCGCCUUUUUUCCACUCCGGAAAACCUAGUUAGAUAUACAAAAAGGUAUCAUCAGCUCAGUAUAAAGCCAAUAUUGUGGGGAAACUGGUGAAGUAUAAAAAAAUAAUAGAAAGGUAACUCUUCGUAUGAUACAUGUAACAAAAUCAAGUGUGUUUACAUCUGUAGCCAUUAUGAUAUUAUUAAAAGGUGUUUCGAAACCACAAACGUACAUUUUUUGGAAAAAACGGUUGAACCAUGUCAGCUGAAAUAUACUUGCAAAUGCAUAUUGUUUUAUUUUCAUUGAUAACGAGAAAAUAGUGUAUAACGACAAACAUAUUUUAUUUAACUAACCACGGCACCAGGAUAAGCAGAAUAAUCAGAAACAUAGUCAAAUAAAUUGUAGUGGAAUAAAGUAUAACAUAAUUAGAGUUUUUGAUUUGAUUGAACAAUUUUUAAUAAUAUAUAUUUGUGAGAUUAAUUUUCCUAUUGACUUAAAUUCAAAAGUUUAACAUCUGCUGCAUAUCAAUCGAUUUUGUUGAUAAAUGUUCCUGAACUUUGCACGUCUAGCUGUAUACAUAUACAUUAAGGCGUCAGUUGUUUACCAAUGUUCAAAUCUCGUAAAUCGAUUAAGCAGAGACAAAACAAAAUAACAAACAAAAACUGAGGGAAUCACAAUAACUCAAAAAAAAAACCAAAAAAAAACAAGACCGGGUACGUCGACAGGGUAAGCGUCUCCUGCUAUGCGUGUAUCACAACUGUACUGAUAUCUAAAGAUCUAAGACCGCGAAAACAAACCUGUCUCUAGUGACUUGAGACACCGACAAAGGAACUUUAUUUGUAUGGGGAUGAUGCACAAGAUGAAUCGAUAGAUUGGGAUUUUCAUCCCUGAGGGUUAAGGUCUGUAAUACAGGUGUAGCAUUAUGAAAUGACCGGUUCAUUUUUAUCUUUGAAUAUAAUAAGAUAGUAUACAGUCAACAGGAAAAUAAAGUGAGUUUCGCACGUGUUCCCAUAGCACUAUUUUGAUCAUUUAUACUCAAAACUCGAAUAGCCUAUUGUUCAAGUCACUCGAUCAUUUAAGAUGUAAAUGAUAACAUUAUAUGCUAACUCUCUUUUCAUUUCAUGUUGUUUAAUUAUUUCUUUUUGUCAGAACGUUUCGGGGUAUUGUGAACUUAUCAAUAUCCUACUUGAAAAGAACGUGUCAAACAGUGAAGAGAUCCAUUGUCAUUGUUUCCAAGGGCGAUGAUAUUUUACCACUAAAUUUCGACUGCAGUGCUACAACAAAGAAUGUCAAGCUCAUGUAAAUUUUGCAAUUGUUUAGUAAAACUGUUGUUACUGGUCCUGACACUGUUAUGUACAUUUCAUCAAAGAUGCCAGGCUUAUAAUUUGGUAAGACGACGCUCAUUUCGUCUGCAUAAGACCAAUCAAUGUCGCUUUACUCAAAACAGAUAAAAGAACAAAUUUAAUAGGAGUUGAAGGAAAUGUUGGAUUGGAAUACAUUUCAAGGUGAUUCUAGUUUUAAUGUUUAACAUUAUGCGGAAAGAAAUAUGUAUCAUAAGUUGUUUUACAAUUAUAUGUGAAUUA